ACAAAGUUUAUAUUAGAGCGUCAUCCAUUAAUGCUUUGGCUAGGAGGGACAGGGUCUAUCGCCCUGGUUGGAGUGCAGCAGUGUAAUCAUAGCUCACUGCUGCCAUGAACUUCUGGGCUCAAGCGAUCCUCCCACCUCAGCCUCCCUGUGUGCUGGGAUUAAAAGUGUGAGCCACCGUGCCUCAUCGUAAGGGUCUUAAAAGAAACCCUAUUUCAUACUUUCUUGAUGCACUUGAUAUGGAUUAUAUAAAUCUAUGGACAAAAAUGACAUCAGUACAAUGGAAUAUUGGAGUUUUCUACCAUAAUCUCUGCAUAGUGCACUGAUUUUGACAAUCACCUAUGGAUGAAAAUACAUUUGCCAGAGUCUAGGAGUUAAAUGGAAAAGUUAACAGCACACCGUUGGAGAAAAAUAUCUGGGAGUAGAUGCAUUCAAGGGAGUAAGAAGAACAAUUACCUGCAUCACCUCACCCCCAGGGUCCACUUCUUAGUGCCAAGAUAGACUCCCUUCAGCAGGCAAUUUCUCCCAUGGGGAAAAGGAGAGUAUAAUGAGUGAGUAUCCAGCUUUUCCAGCUGUGUGAGGCACAUCCCAAGAAGCCCAUCUUUCUUUCACUCAACUCAGAAUAUUGAGGGUAUUAGCAUGGCUAAGUGGCUGGGACAGGGCAGUAGCAGGAAAGAAAGGAGAGGACUCACAGCAACCAGGACUUGAAACUCAGUACAGGGUACAUAUCCUUUGAAGCAUUUCACAGAGCCCAUCAGGAGGCCCACCCAUGAACCACUUGGGACACCAUAUCUGUAGCAUCUCCCUGCAACUGGCCCAUAGGAGCCCCCGAUGUUUUGUGCAUAUUCCCCUUCCCUUUCUCCUAUAGUCAGUUGCCUGCACAUGCACUCCAGAUGGUGAGUGUGAGCAUUUACCUACAGCUUUUGAGUACAUGCAGUCAGCAGGCUCAACUUUGAAGGAUUGGGAGGAAUACAAAAUUGAGCAUUUCAGGGCACUGUCCUAGAGGAAACAAACAGAAAGCUUUCAGGACCCAGUUUGGUUUUGUGGAUUUAAGAGAAGACACACAAUCAUCAGAAUUUCUUCUCCACCCAUCCAAGAAGUGUGGAUUGGGUGAAUCCAUAGAAAAGAUCUGAGAGAGCCUCAGAUUCCCUAUAGGCUCACUGUUGAAGAUAUUUCUCUCAAAUCCAGUCAGUAAAGACUAGAGAAAGUGACUCUUUCUUCAAAUGUGAAGACAGCAGUGCAAGACUUUGAGGAACAUGAAAAAUCAAGGACACCUAGUACCACCAAAGGAACAUAAUUUUCUGGUACCCAACCACAAAGAAAUGGAGAUACACAAAUUGUCUGACAAAGAAUUCACAACAAUUGUUUUAAGGAAGUCAGUAAGCUACAAGAGAACACAGAGAACUUAAUGAUAUUAAGAAAGCGACACAUGAACAAAAUAAGAUGUUCAACAAAAAGAUAGAAAUUAUUAAAAACAACCAUGAUUUUCGAGCUGAGAAUACAAUGAAUGAAAUGGAAAACACAAUAGAGUUUCAAUAGCAGACUUGAUCAAGCAGAAGAAAGGGUCUGUCAACUCAAAUACUAGUCAUUUGAAAUUAUUCAGUAAAAGAAAUAAAAAGGAAUGAAAAAUGCUUAUGCGAUUGAUGCAACACCAUGAAGAGUAGUCAUAUAUGCACUAUGGGAGUCUCAGAAAAAGAAAGAGAUAAAGGGGAAGAAAACUAACUUAAAGAACUAGAUCAGUCUCUCCUUAUCUGUAGUUUUGCUUUCCUUGGUUUCAGGUACAGUACAAUGAUAUGUUUUAAGAGACAGACAAUGAAAGAGAACAUGCAAAUAUUGACAUAAUUUUUAUUACAGUAUAUUGUCAUAGUUUUUCUAUUUUGUUAUUAGUUGUUAUUCUCUUACUGUGCCUAAUUUAUACAUUAAACUUUAUCAUAGGAAUAGUGGUGGUGGCCUGUCUGGAGUGGCCACUGCCAGGAUGCCAGCUGCAGCAGGGGAGGUGUAGCUGGGGCUGUGCACUCCGCAGAGCUGGGGGGGGCCAGGAACAGGUGAUCCUAGUGGGAGCCCUAUAUGCUACUGAGUUAGUGGGGUGGGAGCCUGUGCUCCCAGGCAUAGCUGCAGCUGCCCAGCCAUGGCUCCAGCCCUAGGCAUACCUGUGCUCUCAGGGGCCCUGGAAGUCCCCUGCCCUUACAGGCUUGGAAGUGCCUGCUCCCAUUCCCUGGCCUCUUUCCACUGCUGGCACCUGCUCUGUGGCAGAGCAAAGUUGUGGAUGUGUUGUGAUAGCUGAGCCUGGGAGCUGUUGUGACGUGGUCAGGUGUGUGUGUUCAGGGCAGUUCUGAUACACCAGACUCCCCACUGCCUUUGCCCCCUCUGGAAACUGCUUCUGAGGCUGAAACUUUGGAUAUUAAUGAGCAAGGAUGGUGGGGGAGGCCAGGACGGCUGAGGGCAGCUAGGUGUGGGCCUGUGGACACCCCUUAGUGCGGACAGUCUGGGUGCUGUGGAUGGCAUGUUGAUGGCAGCGAGAGGCAGACAUGUUCCUAGGUGGGAACGGGUGGGUCCCUGGUGAAACCUCACCUUCAAGCCAGGGACAGCUUGAAGCAUGGGGGCCUGGCUGCCAGUUCCGGUUGCAGUCUGUGACCUGGAGUGAAAACUUCAUUGAUGUCUUUCAGCCAAUUGGAUGGUGCUUUUUCCAGACCCACAAAUGGCUGCCCAUGGACCAAGCAGUAUGUACUUCCUCCAUUCUGAGCCCAUGAAAACCCCAGACUCAGUCAGACUCUGACACUCAUCAGGAUGACAAGCCUGCAAAUAGGAUCUACCCAUUUUGGGUAUGCACUCCACUGAGAGCUAUUCUGUCACUCAAUAAAGCUCCUUUCUGCCUUGCUCACCCUCCAGUUAUUCACAUAACCUCAUUCUUCCUGGAUGUGGGACAAGAACUCAGGACCUGCUGAAUGGUGGGAGGGAAAGAAGCUGUAACAUGUUCCUGGCCAGCUCACCAAGCUGCAGGUGGUGACAUACUCCUGGACUAUGGGAGUGAAGAGUAGUGACCCUUCUGGGGGCCCAGACCUUGAGAUUCUCCGAGCCAGAGCUGCAGUAACACUAUAGCUCUCCUGCCCUCUGCUGGUGCUGGGUGGCCCCCCAAUGCAACAGGACGCAGCAGCAGGCCUGGGCCAGCCCAGGAGCUGGGAGCCUGAGUGGGGUGGUGGAACUGAAAGGGCUAUAACACAAACCAACCAAAACAUGCCCCACUCACUUGCUGCACUGUGGGUGAGGAGAAGGAGAAAAGAGCUGCAGCCCUUCUAGGAAGCCAGACUUUGGGGCUCCCUGAACUAGGGCUGUGACAUGCUGUAACACCUUCUUUAGGAUUCUGCACUUCCUGGCCUCUCUGAGAUUUUGGAUGCCACCGUGUUCCCUUUGUCCAGAUGCUGGUGUCCGCAGCAGAAGCCACUUGUGAUAUAUCUGGUCCAGCUGCAGCUUCACAUGGAUGAGGUGCCUGUGCCGGUG
RNAcentral lists this long non-coding RNA (3495 nucleotides) under Homo sapiens (human). RNAcentral's name for it is "non-protein coding LINC02015:26". The record is from RNAcentral. Lineage: Eukaryota; Metazoa; Chordata; Mammalia; Primates; Hominidae.